This 1897-nucleotide ribosomal RNA is filed under the name Enterobacter kobei. RNAcentral's name for it is "partial 23S ribosomal RNA". It matches the Rfam family "Bacterial large subunit ribosomal RNA", at positions 1 to 1922 of the family's 2925-position model. The record is from RNAcentral. Lineage: Bacteria; Pseudomonadati; Pseudomonadota; Gammaproteobacteria; Enterobacterales; Enterobacteriaceae.
GGUUAAGCGACUAAGCGUACACGGUGGAUGCCCUGGCAGUCAGAGGCGAUGAAGGACGUGCUAAUCUGCGAAAAGCGCCGGCGAGGUGAUAUGAACCUUUGACCCGGCGAUGUCCGAAUGGGGAAACCCAGUGUGUUUCGACACACUAUCGUUAACUGAAUACAUAGGUUAACGAGGCGAACCGGGGGAACUGAAACAUCUAAGUACCCCGAGGAAAAGAAAUCAACCGAGAUUCCCCCAGUAGCGGCGAGCGAACGGGGAGCAGCCCGGAGUCUGAAUCAGCUUGUGUGUUAGUGGAACGGUCUGGAAAGUCCGACGGUACAGGGUGAUAGUCCCGUACACGAAAAUGCACAGGUUGUGAACUCGAAGAGUAGGGCGGGACACGUGGUAUCCUGUCUGAAUAUGGGGGGACCAUCCUCCAAGGCUAAAUACUCCUGACUGACCGAUAGUGAACCAGUACCGUGAGGGAAAGGCGAAAAGAACCCCGGCGAGGGGAGUGAAAAAGAACCUGAAACCGUGUACGUACAAGCAGUGGGAGCCUACUUGUUAGGUGACUGCGUACCUUUUGUAUAAUGGGUCAGCGACUUAUAUUCUGUAGCAAGGUUAACCGUAUAGGGGAGCCGAAGGGAAACCGAGUCUUAACUGGGCGUUAAGUUGCAGGGUAUAGACCCGAAACCCGGUGAUCUAGCCAUGGGCAGGUUGAAGGUUGGGUAACACUAACUGGAGGACCGAACCGACUAAUGUUGAAAAAUUAGCGGAUGACCUGUGGCUGGGGGUGAAAGGCCAAUCAAACCGGGAGAUAGCUGGUUCUCCCCGAAAGCUAUUUAGGUAGCGCCUCGUGAACUCAUCUUCGGGGGUAGAGCACUGUUUCGGCUAGGGGGCCAUCCCGGCUUACCAACCCGAUGCAAACUACGAAUACCGAAGAAUGUUAUCACGGGAGACACACGGCGGGUGCUAACGUCCGUCGUGAAGAGGGAAACAACCCAGACCGCCAGCUAAGGUCCCAAAGUCAUGGUUAAGUGGGAAACGAUGUGGGAAGGCACAGACAGCCAGGAUGUUGGCUUAGAAGCAGCCAUCAUUUAAAGAAAGCGUAAUAGCUCACUGGUCGAGUCGGCCUGCGCGGAAGAUGUAACGGGGCUAAACCAUGCACCGAAGCUGCGGCAGCGACACUAUGUGUUGUUGGGUAGGGGAGCGUUCUGUAAGCCGUUGAAGGUGGCCUGUGAGGGUUGCUGGAGGUAUCAGAAGUGCGAAUGCUGACAUAAGUAACGAUAAAGCGGGUGAAAAGCCCGCUCGCCGGAAGACCAAGGGUUCCUGUCCAACGUUAAUCGGGGCAGGGUGAGUCGACCCCUAAGGCGAGGCCGAAAGGCGUAGUCGAUGGGAAACAGGUUAAUAUUCCUGUACUUGGUGUUACUGCGAAGGGGGGACGGAGAAGGCUAUGUUAGCCGGGCGACGGUUGUCCCGGUUUAAGCAUGUAGGCGGAGGUUCCAGGUAAAUCCGGUACCUUAUUAACGCUGAGGUGUGAUGACGAGGCACUACGGUGCUGAAGUAACAAAUGCCCUGCUUCCAGGAAAAGCCUCUAAGCAUCAGGUAACACGAAAUCGUACCCCAAACCGACACAGGUGGUCAGGUAGAGAAUACCAAGGCGCUUGAGAGAACUCGGGUGAAGGAACUAGGCAAAAUGGUGCCGUAACUUCGGGAGAAGGCACGCUGAUAUGUAGGUGAAGCCCCUGCGGGUGGAGCUGAAAUCAGUCGAAGAUACCAGCUGGCUGCAACUGUUUAUUAAAAACACAGCACUGUGCAAACACGAAAGUGGACGUAUACGGUGUGACGCCUGCCCGGUGCCGGAAGGUUAAUUGAUGGGGUUAGCGGCAACGCGAAGCUCUUGAUCGAAGCCCCG